CCUACGGGUGGCAGCAGUGGGGAAUAUUGCACAAUGGGGGAAACCCUGAUGCAGCGACGCCGCGUGAGCGAUGAAGUCUUUCGGUAUGUAAAGCUCUAUCAGCAGGGAGAAAAAUGAUGGUACCUGAUUAAUAAGCCUCGGCUAACUACGUGCCAGCAGCCGCGGUAAUACGUAGGGGGCAAGCUUUAUCCGGAUUUACUGGGUGUAAAGGGAGCGUAGAGGGGGUUGCAGGCCAGAUGUGAAAGUCCGGGGCUCAACCCCGGGACUGCAUUUGGAACUGUGUUGCUAGAGUGUCGGAGAGGCAGGCGGAAUUCCUAGUGUAGCGGUGAAAUGCGUAGAUAUUAGGAGGAACACCAGUGGCGAAGGCGGGCUGCUGGACGAUGACUGACGUUGAGGCUCGAAAGCGUGGGGAGCAAACAGGAUUAGAUACCCUUGUAGUC
This 440-nucleotide ribosomal RNA is filed under the name uncultured bacterium. RNAcentral's name for it is "partial 16S ribosomal RNA". It matches the Rfam family "Bacterial small subunit ribosomal RNA", at positions 338 to 795 of the family's 1533-position model. The record is from RNAcentral.